RNAcentral lists this unclassified non-coding RNA (256 nucleotides) under uncultured Solirubrobacterales bacterium. Its description in RNAcentral is "contains 16S-23S intergenic spacer region". Lineage: Bacteria; Bacillati; Actinomycetota; Thermoleophilia; Solirubrobacterales. The record is from RNAcentral.
UGGGCUUGACAUGUUGGUGUCCCGAAGGAAAACCGUGUUUCCACGGCGGUCACCAACAUGUCAAGCCCAGGUAAGGUUCUUCGCGUUGCGUCGAAUUAAACCACAUGCUCCGCUGCUUGUGCGGGCCCCCGUCAAUUCCUUUGAGUUUUAGCCUUGCGGCCGUACUCCCCAGGCGGGGCACUUAGUGCGUUAGCGACGGCACGGGAGGAGUCGACACCUCCCACACCUAGUGCCCAUCGUUUACGGCGUGGACUAC